RNAcentral lists this long non-coding RNA (280 nucleotides) under Malus domestica (apple). RNAcentral describes it as "long non-coding RNA (MDOM_LNC021014)". The record is from RNAcentral. Lineage: Eukaryota; Viridiplantae; Streptophyta; Magnoliopsida; Rosales; Rosaceae.
GUAGUGGGAGCUACAAGCUUCACAUGUUUUAACUUUGUCAGAGCGCUUUGAAAAAGUGGUCCGUGGUAUCUGGAAAGCUGAUGUUGCGUGUGAAGAUUACAGACAAGCUUUAUCCAAGGAAAUUUGGCUCUCGAAGUUCAAAGAGCGGUGCCUCUUCGGUUUUCGAACAAGCAAUCCUGUCGGGGAUCUGGCUCUCGAGAUUCAGAGAAUGCUGCCUCUUCGAUUUUUGAGAAAGAAAUCCUGUUAGGAGUUUGACUCUUGAGAUUCGGAGAGUAGUGUC